Molecule: ribosomal RNA, 253 nt
Filed under: uncultured bacterium
Lineage: Bacteria
Also listed under: 1 other name
Description: partial 16S ribosomal RNA
Rfam family: Bacterial small subunit ribosomal RNA
Source: RNAcentral
GACGUAGGGAGCGAGCGUUGUCCGGAUUCAUUGGGCGUAAAGCGCGCGUAGGCGGUUUGGCAAGUCGGAUGUGAAAUCCCGAGGCUCAACCUCGUGACUGCAUCCGAUACUGCCCGACUAGAGGUAGGUAGGGGAGAUCGGAAUUCCUGGUGUAGCGGUGAAAUGCGCAGAUAUCAGGAGGAACACCGGUGGCGAAGGCGGAUCUCUGGGCCUGACCUGACGCUGAGGCGCGAAAGCUAGGGGAGCGAACAGG